AGUCUCCAUAAUCUAAUCUCCAGAAUGCACUAAACCAGGAGAAGAUCCACCUGGUCUGCUGGAGUUUGCUGGAGGUCCACUCCAGACCCUGUUUGCCUGGGUAUCACCGGCAGAGGCUGCAGAGCAGCAAAGAUUGCUGCCUGCUCCUUCCUCUGGAAGCUUCAUCCCAAAGGGGCACCCGCCUGAUGCCAGCCAGAGCUCUCCUGUACGAGAGAUGCCCUGCCCAGUGAGGAGGAAUCUAGAGAAGCAGUCUGGCCAUAGCUUUGCUGCACUGCGCACUUCUCCUUGCUGCCGCCAUGUGAAGAAGAAUGUGUUUGCUUCCCCUUCCGCCAUGAUUGUAAGUUUCCUGAGGUCUCCUCAACCAUGCUGAACUGUCAUGACAUUUUGAGCACAAUUGUGUGUGGGAUGCAUUCAUCAAUAGAGCUGGAAGCACCAACCACCAUAGGAGAGGAAACUUUUAGUUACAAGCACAUGAAUAAAUAAAAUCAAACUCAACUGGAAUGACGUUCCUGAGGAUGGAGAUACAUUUUUUUGUUGACCCAUCUAAACUUGAACAGCAAGUGAUAAUCAGUCUCCAAUCAGAAAGUCCCAGAAUGCUGAGUGCUCUGUAUUUGUAAUCCCAUUGCUCCUAUUGAGAAGUUAGCUGUUGGCCAAACUAUUCCUACUUUCAAGAUCUCCCCGGCCCACAAAAUACUUAAAAAGUAACCGGACUCUUUGUUCAGGGCUCAAUCUUUUUGGAUGUUAAUCUGACUGGGCCGGUGCACCUAAAUAAUAAAUAAUAUAUAUCCUCCUCGACCUUUGGUCUCUCUGAUUCCUAAAUUAUCCUGCUGCACCAGGACUUAUAGGAGCAGAAAUCAGAAGACUUUACUCCACACACUUCAGGUGGACAUGUGGACAAAGCCAUCGGAGAACAUGACAAAAAUACAGCAAGAGCAGAGACAAGAUCAGAUCAUCCUGGGGGCAGAUGCUGGGCUCUGACCAAUUUGAGAGAGAAAAGGAAAAAGAACCCAGCUACAAGAUGCACAAGUAGCAGGCCACAGCCACCAACAUCAGCAGAGCAAUUGGAGGCCAGGAAGACAAGGACACUUCUGAAGAGACUGAAAAAAGCAGAAGACAGUCCAAGUCACUGCAAGGUUCCAAGGUCUCUUUUUUCAUUACUGUUACAAGUACCAAGUAAGCCAAAAUCCACCCUACUCUUCAAAACCAUCUUGAAGAGUUGCAGGUCAGGGUUGCUGCAUCUGAGCAUGUUUACUCACAAAAGGUGACAGAUGCUCCUCAACUUACAAUGAGAUUACAUCCUGAUAAAUGUGUCAUAAGUUGAAAGUAUCUUAUAAGUCGAAAAUGCAUUUACUACAGCCUAACCCACUGAACAUUGUAGCUUAGGCUAGCCUACCUUAAAACGUGAUCAGGACACUUCCCUCAGCCUACAUUUGGGCAAAAUCACCUAACACGAAGCCUAUUUUAUAAUAGAGCAUUGAAUAGCUCAAAUAAUUUAUUGAAUACUGUACAUUACAUAGAAUUUGUGACAGUUUUACACCAUCAUUAUGUCAAAAAAUCAUUAAGUUGAGCCACCAUAACUCAGGGACUGUCUGUAUUUAUAUUUUUACUUCACACUAAGCUUUGAAACUGAAAUUUUUGCUCCUCAGCAGAUGGGGUUUCUGAGAAAGACCAAAUUAGUUAUAGAGCACUAGCUCCCAAAAAAAAAAAAAAAAAAAAACAGAAGAAGUCAGAGGAGGAGGGCAACAUGGAGCAGAGGAAGAAGGAGAGAAAAAGCAAGAAACCAUUAUCGCUCCCUCAUCUGAACUGCACUGCGAGUAAGCUGGGGCUUCCACCACAGUGUCCUGGAAGCCAUGUUUGCUGCCCAUUUCUGGACUCUCCAGCCACACUGGCCUCCUUUCCCUUUCUCAAACCUGCUGUGGUUCCUGCCACUUCAAGAUAAUCUCUUAACAAUCUAUUCCUUCUGCCUGGAAUGCUCUUCCUCCCACCCAACCCCGCUCUGCCCAGCUAACUCCAUUCUUUGGCCCCUGCAUCACUUUCCCAAGGAAGCCAUUUCUGGACUUCCCUGACCCCUGCCUUCCAUCUUCACUGGCCCAGAGUUCCCUACCCUAUGGUCUCAUUGCUCCCUCCCAGGCACUGCUGCCUCCCAGGACUCUUCCCUGUCGGUAAUAUAGUUCUGUUUGAUUGUUCAGUUAAUUUUGCCUCCCCUGAAGACCAUAAGCCAUGUUGGCAAUGAUGGUUUUGCUCACCAUUGCACCUCCAGUGUCUAAAAACCAUGGGCAGGUCAAUUCAUUUUUGUUGAGUAAAGGAAUUGUUCAAUAAGUGCACAAAUAAAUUCACAUUAAAACUUGUCCAAAAACAAAGGAGUUUUCUUGUGAGAAGCAGCUGCUCAUUCUGGGGCAUUCAAGUGCAGUGAGAUGACAACGAUGACCAUUGGAGAUGCUUUCAAAGUGAUGCCGGCACUAGACAGAUGGCUGGAGUGUGUACCCUUUAAGGACUCACCUAUCUCAGAAGUCAUGUGUGUUUCUGUAUGUGUAAAUGCACAAACAGACUGGAAGGAUAUGUGUUCAGCGUCUUUUCAGACUGUGAAGGUCCCUGCAACCAGAAGGAGAGCUGUCUUCAGGAAAGGAUGAAGGGAACGAGCAUCUGUCUGUGACUCUGGUGGUUGUGCAGGCAGGUCACCUCAAGGUGGAGUGACACUGUGGUGGGACAGGUGGAGCACCAGUGAGGAAGCUCUCAUGGGCCUGAGCCAACUGAAUUAAUUAAGACCAAGAACAGUAAAGGGACCCAGAGGGCAAACUCUGAGAGGCAGUCAUAAGCAGCACCCUCUCCCCAAACUGUAUUACUCAUUCCCACAGAAGUGUGUGUCUGCUUGCCUUUAAUCUGUUCUGACUGUAAGCCAUUUUGAGACAUCCCAGUCCCAAUGAUGGCCACCAUGUUCUGCAUUGAAUAGAUGCUUGACAUACAUCCAAUUAGUAAAAGCGAGUGAACU
RNAcentral lists this long non-coding RNA (2989 nucleotides) under Homo sapiens (human). RNAcentral describes it as "uncharacterized LOC125312414, transcript variant 7 (LOC125312414)". Lineage: Eukaryota; Metazoa; Chordata; Mammalia; Primates; Hominidae. The record is from RNAcentral.